UACGUAGGGUGCAAGCGUUAAUCGGAAUUACUGGGCGUAAAGCGUGCGCAGGCGGUUCGUUAAGUUCGUUGUGAAAGCCCCGGGCUCAACCUGGGAAUGGCAAUGGAAACUGGCGGGCUUGGAGUGCGGCAGAGGGGGGUGGAAUUCCGCGUGUAGCAGUGAAAUGCGUAGAGAUGCGGAGGAACACCGAUGGCGAAGGCAGCCCCCUGGGCCGACACUGACGCUCAGGCACGAAAGCGUGGGGAGCAAACAGG
This 254-nucleotide ribosomal RNA is filed under the name uncultured bacterium. RNAcentral describes it as "partial 16S ribosomal RNA". It matches the Rfam family "Bacterial small subunit ribosomal RNA", at positions 524 to 776 of the family's 1533-position model. The record is from RNAcentral.